Molecule: ribosomal RNA, 3073 nt
Filed under: Campylobacter jejuni
Lineage: Bacteria; Pseudomonadati; Campylobacterota; Epsilonproteobacteria; Campylobacterales; Campylobacteraceae
Description: 23S ribosomal RNA
Rfam family: Bacterial large subunit ribosomal RNA
Source: RNAcentral
UAAAAAAAGGUAAGCUACUAAGAGCGAAUGGUGGAUGCCUUGACUGGUAAAGGCGAUGAAGGACGUACUAGACUGCGAUAAGCUACGGGGAGCUGUCAAGAAGCUUUGAUCCGUAGAUUUCCGAAUGGGGCAACCCAAUGUAUAGAGAUAUACAUUACCUAUAUAGGAGCGAACGAGGGGAAUUGAAACAUCUUAGUACCCUCAGGAAAAGAAAUCAAUAGAGAUUGCGUCAGUAGCGGCGAGCGAAAGCGCAAGAGGGCAAACCCAGUGCUUGCACUGGGGGUUGUAGGACUGCAAUGUGCAAGAGGUAAGUUUAGCAGAACAUUCUGGAAAGUAUAACCAUAGAGGGUGAUAGUCCCGUAUGCGAAAAACAAACCUUAGCUAGCAGUAUCCUGAGUAGGGCGGGACACGAGGAAUCCUGUCUGAAUCCGGGUCGACCACGAUCCAACCCUAAAUACUAAUACCAGAUCGAUAGUGCACAAGUACCGUGAGGGAAAGGUGAAAAGAACUGAGGUGAUCAGAGUGAAAUAGAACCUGAAACCAUUUGCUUACAAUCAUUCAGAGCCCUAUGUAGCAAUACAGGGUGAUGGACUGCCUUUUGCAUAAUGAGCCUGCGAGUUGUGGUGUCUGGCAAGGUUAAGCAAACGCGAAGCCGUAGCGAAAGCGAGUCUGAAUAGGGCGCUUAGUCAGAUGCUGCAGACCCGAAACGAAGUGAUCUAUCCAUGAGCAAGUUGAAGCUAGUGUAAGAACUAGUGGAGGACUGAACCCAUAGGCGUUGAAAAGCCCCGGGAUGACUUGUGGAUAGGGGUGAAAGGCCAAUCAAACUUCGUGAUAGCUGGUUCUCUCCGAAAUAUAUUUAGGUAUAGCGUUGUGUCGUAAUAUAAGGGGGUAGAGCACUGAAUGGGCUAGGGCAUACACCAAUGUACCAAACCCUAUCAAACUCCGAAUACCUUAUAUGUAAUCACAGCAGUCAGGCGGCGAGUGAUAAAAUCCGUCGUCAAGAGGGAAACAACCCAGACUACCAGCUAAGGUCCCUAAGUCUUACUUAAGUGGAAAACGAUGUGAAGUUACUUAAACAACCAGGAGGUUGGCUUAGAAGCAGCCAUCCUUUAAAGAAAGCGUAAUAGCUCACUGGUCUAGUGAUUUUGCGCGGAAAAUAUAACGGGGCUAAAGUAAGUACCGAAGCUGUAGACUUGCACACAACUUAGAUUAUUUAAGUUUAGAAUAUGAGAAACUAAGUUAUAUGUUUAGUUAUAUUUUUACUGAUUUUUAUAGAGUAAAGAUAGAAAUAAAACUUAGUAAAAUCAGUAAAAAUAUUCUUAGACUAAAGUUAAGUAGUUUAAGUUGUGUGCAAGUGGUAGGAGAGCGUUCUAUUUGCGUCGAAGGUAUACCGGUAAGGAGUGCUGGAGCGAAUAGAAGUGAGCAUGCAGGCAUGAGUAGCGAUAAUUAAUGUGAGAAUCAUUAACGCCGUAAACCCAAGGUUUCCUACGCGAUGCUCGUCAUCGUAGGGUUAGUCGGGUCCUAAGUCGAGUCCGAAAGGGGUAGACGAUGGCAAAUUGGUUAAUAUUCCAAUACCAACAUUAGUGUGCGAUGGAAGGACGCUUAGGGCUAAGGGGGCUAGCGGAUGGAAGUGCUAGUCUAAGGUCGUAGGAGGUUAUACAGGCAAAUCCGUAUAACAAUACUCCGAGAACUGAAAGGCUUUUUGAAGUCUUCGGAUGGAUAGAAGAACCCCUGAUGCCGUCGAGCCAAGAAAAGUUUCUAAGUUUAGCUAAUGUUGCCCGUACCGUAAACCGACACAGGUGGGUGGGAUGAGUAUUCUAAGGCGCGUGGAAGAACUCUCUUUAAGGAACUCUGCAAAAUAGCACCGUAUCUUCGGUAUAAGGUGUGGUUAGCUUUGUAUUAGGAUUUACUCCGAAAGCAAGGAAACUUACAACAAAGAGUCCCUCCCGACUGUUUACCAAAAACACAGCACUCUGCUAACUCGUAAGAGGAUGUAUAGGGUGUGACGCCUGCCCGGUGCUCGAAGGUUAAUUGAUGGGGUUAGCAUUAGCGAAGCUCUUGAUCGAAGCCCGAGUAAACGGCGGCCGUAACUAUAACGGUCCUAAGGUAGCGAAAUUCCUUGUCGGUUAAAUACCGACCUGCAUGAAUGGCGUAACGAGAUGGGAGCUGUCUCAAAGAGGGAUCCAGUGAAAUUGUAGUGGAGGUGAAAAUUCCUCCUACCCGCGGCAAGACGGAAAGACCCCGUGGACCUUUACUACAGCUUGACACUGCUACUUGGAUAAGAAUGUGCAGGAUAGGUGGGAGGCUUUGAGUAUAUGACGCCAGUUGUAUAUGAGCCAUUGUUGAGAUACCACUCUUUCUUAUUUGGGUAGCUAACCAGCUUGAGUUAUCCUCAAGUGGGACAAUGUCUGGUGGGUAGUUUGACUGGGGCGGUCGCCUCCCAAAUAAUAACGGAGGCUUACAAAGGUUGGCUCAGAACGGUUGGAAAUCGUUCGUAGAGUAUAAAGGUAUAAGCCAGCUUAACUGCAAGACAUACAAGUCAAGCAGAGACGAAAGUCGGUCUUAGUGAUCCGGUGGUUCUGUGUGGAAGGGCCAUCGCUCAAAGGAUAAAAGGUACCCCGGGGAUAACAGGCUGAUCUCCCCCAAGAGCUCACAUCGACGGGGAGGUUUGGCACCUCGAUGUCGGCUCAUCGCAUCCUGGGGCUGGAGCAGGUCCCAAGGGUAUGGCUGUUCGCCAUUUAAAGCGGUACGCGAGCUGGGUUCAGAACGUCGUGAGACAGUUCGGUCCCUAUCUGCCGUGGGCGUAAGAAGAUUGAAGAGAUUUGACCCUAGUACGAGAGGACCGGGUUGAACAAACCACUGGUGUAGCUGUUGUUCUGCCAAGAGCAUCGCAGCGUAGCUAAGUUUGGAAAGGAUAAACGCUGAAAGCAUCUAAGCGUGAAGCCAACUCUAAGAUGAAUCUUCUCUAAGCUCUCUAGAAGACUACUAGUUUGAUAGGCUGGGUGUGUAAUGGAUGAAAGUCCUUUAGCUGACCAGUACUAAUAGAGCGUUUGGCUUAUCUUUAAUAAAGCAU